AGAACGCACAUUAAUAAUUAUCCUUGAGGCCAUGGGAUAAACAAAAACCCUACAAAACCAAAUUAGUACAUCCUAGAAUGGUUCUAACAUGAUUACUAACCUAUGGCUCUAAUACAAGUUGAUGGAAAAACCUG
This 134-nucleotide microRNA precursor is filed under the name Vitis vinifera (wine grape). RNAcentral describes it as "MIR845_2 microRNA precursor family". It matches the Rfam family "MIR845_2 microRNA precursor family". Lineage: Eukaryota; Viridiplantae; Streptophyta; Magnoliopsida; Vitales; Vitaceae. The record is from Rfam by way of RNAcentral.